CUACGGGAGGCUCCAGUGGGGAAUAUUGGACAAUGGGGGAAACCCUGAUCCAGCAAUGCCGCGUGUGUGAAGAAGGCCUGCGGGUUGUAAAGCACUUUCGGUUGGGAGGACUGCUUCUAGCACUAAUAUUGUUGGAAGUUGACGUUACCUUCAGAAGAAGCACCGGCUAACUCCGUGCCAGCAGCCGCGGUAAUACGGAGGGUGCAUGCGUUAAUCGGAAUUACUGGGCGUAAAGCGCGCGUAGGCGGCUAGAUCAGUCGGGUGUGAAAGCCCCGGGCUUAACCUGGGAACUGCAUCCGAUACUGUCUAGCUUGAGUACAGGAGAGGAGAGUGGAAUUCCACAUGUAGCGGUGAAAUGCGUAGAUAUGUGGAGGAACACCAAUGGCGAAGGCAGCUCUCUGGCCUGAUGCUGACGCUGAGGUGCGAAAGCGUGGGGAGCAAACAGGAUUAGAUACCCCCGUAGUC
Molecule: ribosomal RNA, 465 nt
Filed under: uncultured bacterium
Lineage: Bacteria
Description: partial 16S ribosomal RNA
Rfam family: Bacterial small subunit ribosomal RNA
Source: RNAcentral